UGGCGUAGCGCGCAAAGCCUCGGCUUGCUAAGCCGGAGGUCCCGGGUUCGAUUCCCGG
Molecule: non-coding RNA, 58 nt
Organism: Habropoda laboriosa
Lineage: Eukaryota; Metazoa; Arthropoda; Insecta; Hymenoptera; Apidae
Source: Rfam